AUCUCCACUUUGUGAUUUCUGAUGCUCCCCC
Molecule: non-coding RNA, 31 nt
Filed under: Rattus norvegicus (Norway rat)
Lineage: Eukaryota; Metazoa; Chordata; Mammalia; Rodentia; Muridae
Source: RNAcentral